This is a non-coding RNA of Acanthosepion pharaonis, 108 nucleotides long. The record is from the annotation of a GenBank genome assembly. Lineage: Eukaryota; Metazoa; Mollusca; Cephalopoda; Sepiida; Sepiidae.
AGCAUGUCGCGCUGAAACACUGGUUCUCAUAUGAUCACUAAUGUUAAGCAACGUCGAGCCUGGUCAGUAACUAGAUGGGUGAACGCUUGAGAAUACCAAGUGCUGUAA